CGUGCGCACCGAGGCCGGAAGCGACGUGUUGUAGGUGGCUGUCAAGUUUUGUUUUGUUUUGUUUUGUUUUGUUUUUGUUUUUUUUCGAGACAGGAUUUCUCUGUGGCUUUGGAGGCUGUCCUGGAACUCGCUCUGUAGACCAGGCUGGCCUCGAACUCAGAGAUCCGCCUGCCUCUGCUUCCCGAGUGCUGGGAUUAAAGGCGUGAGCCACCAACGCCGGGCUGGCUGUCCAGUUUUUUAAUGUCGACUUUGGUUUUAACUUGGAUCUGCUUCCGAGUAUCGAUAGAUCAGCGUUCUGCUACAGUGUUUGUAUAUCUGUGUGAAGUGUGAAGUGUCAGAUCCAGGAGUUAACGACAGUUGUGAACUGCCAUAUGGGUGCUGGGAAUUGAAGCCAGAUCUUCUGGAAAAGCAGUUGGUGCUCUUAACAGCUGAGCCAUCUUUCCAGCCCUAAGUUCAUUGGAUUUUAGCAAUAGAAUCAGCCCACAGGAUCUACUAACAAGCUGAUCCCAAAGUUCUGAGCUGGAGUAGCUGUCAAAAUGGCAAUUUUCCCCCUUUCUUCGCAACUGAUGUUUCUAAAACUUAGGAAUCUUAAUUUUUGGAGACAUGAUGGAGACAGCAACAGAGUACAAGAUGCUAGUGCAGUGCAAAGUGGCUCCGGGUCCAUCCAGAGUGCCUGUUUUUGCAUACUGGCCAAGCAACGUUCAGUCACUAGAUGACUUACAUUUCUCUCUGUACCUGUCCCCUCCUCUGUAACAGAUCCACUCGACACUGAUGGGAGGCUUAAGUAACUUUGUGUGGGCAAAACAAAUGUGUGGCAAGUGGUUAGCUAGCUGUUAUUGCUUCAACCCUUCGUCACUACUUAGGUCCAGAUAAAACAUCUAUAGAUUGCAGAAAAACAUGUUUUGAAGCCAUGGGAUUGAAUCCAAGGCAUUGUGAAUGCUGGGCAAUAGGUCACUAAAAUACAUCCACAGCCCCAAA
Long non-coding RNA from Mesocricetus auratus (golden hamster), 978 nucleotides. RefSeq lists it as uncharacterized. The record is from RefSeq and is a predicted model, not a curated record. Lineage: Eukaryota; Metazoa; Chordata; Mammalia; Rodentia; Cricetidae. The transcript is spliced from 3 exons.